YAUUCCUACGGGAGGCAGCAGUGGGGAAUAUUGGACAAUGGGGGCAACCCUGAUCCAGCAAUGCCGCGUGUGUGAUGAAGGCCCUAGGGUUGUAAAGCACUUUCAACGGUGACGAUGAUGACGGUAACCGUAGAAGAAGCCCCGGCUAACUUCGUGCCAGCAGCCGCGGUAAUACGAAGGGGGCGAGCGUUGUUCGGAAUAACUGGGCGUAAAGGGCGCGUAGGCGGUCUAUCCAGUUGGGCGUGAAAGCCCUGGGCUCAACCCAGGAAUUGCGUCCAAUACUAAUAGACUAGAGACCGAGAGAGGAUAGUGGAAUUUCCAGUGUAGAGGUAAAAUUCGUAGAUAUUGGAAAGAACACCAGUGGCGAAAGCGACUAUCUGGCUCGGUUCUGACGCUGAGGCGCGAAAGCGUGGGGAGCAAACAGGAUUAGAUACCCUGGUAGUCCACGCCGUAAACGAUGUCUGCUAGGUGUCGGGAGGUUACCUUUCGGUGCCGCAGCUAACGCAUUAAGCAGACCGCCUGGGAAGUACGGCCGCAAGGCUAAAACUCAAAGGAAUUGACAGAAUCUC
RNAcentral lists this ribosomal RNA (569 nucleotides) under uncultured bacterium. Its description in RNAcentral is "bacterial SSU rRNA". It matches the Rfam family "Bacterial small subunit ribosomal RNA", at positions 334 to 922 of the family's 1533-position model. The record is from RNAcentral.